This 301-nucleotide ribosomal RNA is filed under the name uncultured bacterium. RNAcentral's name for it is "partial 16S ribosomal RNA". It matches the Rfam family "Bacterial small subunit ribosomal RNA", at positions 509 to 807 of the family's 1533-position model. The record is from RNAcentral.
CAGUCGCCACGGGAAUACGUAGGGUGCAAGCGUUAAUCGGAAUUACUGGGCGUAAAGCGUGCGCAGGCGGUUCGGAAAGAAAGAUGUGAAAUCCCAGGGCUCAACCUUGGAACUGCAUUUUUAACUACCGGACUAGAGUAUGUCAGAGGGAGGUGGAAUUCCACGUGUAGCAGUGAAAUGCGUAGAUAUGUGGAGGAACACCGACGGCGAAGGCAGCCUCCUGGGAUAAUACUGACGCUCAUGCACGAAAGCGUGGGGAGCAAACAGGAUUAGAGACCCGUGUAGUCCCUGUCUCUUAUAC